This 502-nucleotide ribosomal RNA is filed under the name uncultured bacterium. Its description in RNAcentral is "bacterial SSU rRNA". It matches the Rfam family "Bacterial small subunit ribosomal RNA", at positions 8 to 507 of the family's 1533-position model. The record is from RNAcentral.
AGAGUUUGAUCCUGGCUCAGAUUGAACGCUGGCGGCAUGCUUUACACAUGCAAGUCGAACGGUAACAGGCGCAAGGUGCUGACGAGUGGCGAACGGGUGAGUAAUGCAUCGGAACGUGCCCAGUCGUGGGGGAUAACGCAGCGAAAGCUGCGCUAAUACCGCAUACGAUCUAUGGAUGAAAGCGGGGGACCGUAAGGGCCUCGCGCGAUUGGAGCGGCCGAUGUCAGAUUAGGUAGUUGGUGGGGUAAAGGCUCACCAAGCCAACGAUCUGUAGCUGGUCUGAGAGGACGACCAGCCACACUGGGACUGAGACACGGCCCAGACUCCUACGGGAGGCAGCAGUGGGGAAUUUUGGACAAUGGGCGCAAGCCUGAUCCAGCAAUGCCGCGUGCAGGAAGAAGGCCUUCGGGUUGUAAACUGCUUUUGUACGGAACGAAAAGGCUCUGGUUAAUACCUGGGGCACAUGACGGUACCGUAAGAAUAAGCACCGGCUAACUACGUG